This 253-nucleotide ribosomal RNA is filed under the name uncultured bacterium. Its description in RNAcentral is "partial 16S ribosomal RNA". It matches the Rfam family "Bacterial small subunit ribosomal RNA", at positions 524 to 776 of the family's 1533-position model. The record is from RNAcentral.
UACGUAGGGUGCGAGCGUUGUCCGGAAUUAUUGGGCGUAAAGAGCUUGUAGGCGGUUUGUCGCGUCUGCCGUGAAAAUCCGAGGCUCAACCUCGGACUUGCGGUGGGUACGGGCAGACUAGAGUGUGGUAGGGGAGACUGGAAUUCCUGGUGUAGCGGUGAAAUGCGCAGAUAUCAGGAGGAACACCGGUGGCGAAGGCGGGUCUCUGGGCCGAUAUUGACGCUGAGGAGCGAAAGCGUGGGGAGCGAACAGG